GACUCUCCCUCCUCCCCCCAAACCGGCCCACACAGACCAACAUCAAACACUCCUUUGAUAUGGGACGGUCUUUACUUGUGUGUGUAUGUGAAGGGGGUGGGGGAAUAAGGCGUUUGCAUACCAUAAAAGUAAAAAGGAUAAAAGUCUCCUAAAUGUGUCUAACUUUGACUCAGAUGGAGUGUUGGCUGACAGAAAGAUGCAGGGUCAAUGUGUUUCCAGGUCAAGUGUGAAAGUGGCCGGCCGGCUGUAAAUGUAAAUGCUGCAUGUGGAUGUGAAGCUGCAGACAAAGAGCUGCUUUUGUUUCUGCCAUGAUGGAAAUGAAGGGCCUCUGUGCAGCUCCUGAAAUGGCGGCCUGCUGAGGGAAGCAGGCUGAGCAGGAGCACAGAAAGCAUGGAGUGGAACUGCAGCUGAGGCUGGAUCUGGAGUCAGUCCUGGUUUCAUGUGUGUCACUCAGAAAAAAAAUUCUUUAUCAUCCCGACAACCUCGUGUUUCCAGCUAAAUCUCAGUUGAGAUACUUUAUUUGUGCCAAUGAUGCAGAAAAAUCCUGCUAAACUUUAAAGUUUCAUUGGAUUUAGAGAUGAAAAUGAAAGUAUGUCAGCACUGGUGACUCACACCAGACUGAAUAAACAUCAGUAAGAGUUCAGUCAAACAGGAAGAUUGUUUUAGACGAUCAACAUGAUAAUCAGGAGCAUCAGGGUCAAUGUAAAAAAAUAUAUUUAUUCGGGGAAGAAAGGUGAAGGUAAUUUUUCCCAACUUCAUUCUUCCAAAAUUUGCAGUUCAUUAAAAACAGCAGUAGUACCAGCAGCACACUUUAACAUUGUUUAAUUUAUUCAUUUAAUCUAAUUACUAUUAAGUUAUAUAUAUUUGAGAGCCCAAACACCUAAGUGGAGUGGCAUAAUGUUUAUUCAAUCUGUAUAAAACAUGUUAGUAAGAUAUUGAGCUCAACUAUUUCCUAUUUAGACCCUAUGAAACUUACUAUAAAACUAUGCUAGCUGUUUGCAAAGUGUUUCAGCUAAGCUAAGCCAAACUGUUAAAAUGAAACUUAAAUAAAAAGAGCCAAAAACAAAUAAAUCUUUAAAUAUGAGCUAUGAUUUUAAAAUAUGCAGCUAUUAGGUUAGCUGAGCAUGAGCACAAAUAACCAGAGGAAACGGAUAGUAGUUACCUUCCAAAGCUAUGAAAUAAAUCCUAAUUAACAUAA
Molecule: long non-coding RNA, 1198 nt
Organism: Girardinichthys multiradiatus
Lineage: Eukaryota; Metazoa; Chordata; Actinopteri; Cyprinodontiformes; Goodeidae
Exons: 3
Source: RefSeq, a predicted model, not a curated record